CCAAUAGCGUAUAUUAAAGUUGUUGCAGUUAAAAAGCUCGUAGUUGAAUUUCGGGACUAAUAUGUCGGUCGUACUUUGUACGUACUAGCAUUAUUGGUUUCUCCCUUCUGACGAACCACGAUGUCAUUAAUUUGGUGUCAUGGGAAAUCAGGACUGUUACUUUGAAAAAAUUAGAGUGUUUAAAGCAAGCUCGCGCUUGAAUACAUUAGCAUGGAAUAAUGAAAUAGGACGUUUGAUUCUAUUUUGUUGGUUUCUAGGAUCGACGUAAUGAUUAAUAGGGAUAGUUGGGGGCAUUAGUAUUCAAUUGUCAGAGGUGAAAUUCUUGGAUUUAUUGAAGACUAACUACUGCGAAAGCAUUUGCCAAGGAUGUUUUCAUUAAUCAAGAACGAAAGUUAGGGGAUCGAAGACGAUCAGAUACCGUCGUAGUCUUAACCAUAAACUAUGCCGACUAGGGAUCGGAUGAUGUUAAUUUUUUAAUGACUCAUUCGGCGCCUUAC
RNAcentral lists this ribosomal RNA (497 nucleotides) under uncultured Glomeromycotina. Its description in RNAcentral is "partial small subunit ribosomal RNA". It matches the Rfam family "Eukaryotic small subunit ribosomal RNA", at positions 591 to 1091 of the family's 1831-position model. Lineage: Eukaryota; Fungi; Glomeromycota. The record is from RNAcentral.